UCGCCUCAAGAACAUUAAAUUCGCGAGCAUAUAGUCUCUGCUGGCGAACUAGUUUUCGGCGGACGAACCAAGCCACGCGGUCGGACAGCGCCACGAGAAGCUGACGCACGCUCACGGCGUCCCAGUUCGUCCCCUCCCUUUCGUUGAGUGCGGACGUGGUUUGUGUUUGACAGACAUUUUGGACCAUAUUGAGUGUACUUUUGCUAUUAUGGGACCGAAAAAGAGUUACAUACAGUCCUUAUGGAAGGUGACUCGUGUUACCAAUUCGCCCUCGACUGGUAAUUGGCGGUGCUUUCAGCUUCCCACCGUCAUGAGAAGUGGACCGGCGAGUCACGUUGGCUCGUUGUCGUCGGUUGUCUUCGGUUCGCCCGAUUUCCUCUCCAGAAAGGAGGCGGCGUGCAUACAAACACCCAGAGGCGUCGGAUGGCUUUUUGUGGGCACUUUUAUUAACAACCAAAAGCAUGUGGGGGGCACAGCAGUGGAGUCUACGCUAACUGCGCACUUUGCCGAUUUACCAUCCCUCUCUGGACUGUCGGACAUGGCCUAUUCACUCCAGGGUCCGAGUGUGCCUAACCUACAGGAGCUGAGUACAGUUCGGCAAGUACCGAUACCCCCAGAGCUGCAAAAGAAAUUCAGCAAUAUUCAGUCCAAAGACAGGGUGGGCAUUUUUCCUGAGAUUUCUCGGGCCUGGGUCACGAGCGACAAUGUUCUCUUCAUGUGGAAUUAUGAGGAUGGGGAAGACGUAGUUUAUUUCGACAACCUCAUCAAAAUCAUUUUGGCAGUUGGGCUUGUGAAACCAAAGCAAGGGAUUUUACAGCCUCACAUUAGUUACCUGCUUGUGUUGGCCACAUCUGUGGAUGUGACAAUCCUUGGACUGACCUUUCCAAGGGGCCAAGCUGGGCUGAACGACGGCAUGUUUGGCAGCCUACUGAUGUUGCCAGAACCCCUCUUUUCUAUCCCCACCAACACCGAUAUCAUCUCGAUUACUUCCUCUGACCUGGGUCGCAUCUUCAUGGCAGGCACGGACGGCUGCCUGUACGAGAUCGCCUACCAGGCGAAGGCGGGCUGGUUUAGUCAACGCUGCCGCAAGAUCAACCACUCCAAGAGCUUCCAGGCCUUCCUUGUCCCCUCUGUUCUCCAGUUCGCCUUCUCUGAUGACGACCCAAUUGUGCAGAUUGCUGUGGACAAUUCCCGCAACACGCUCUUUACUCGCUCUGAGAAAGGAGUCCUACAGGUCUAUGACCUGGGUGCUGACGGCCAUGGUAUGAGUUGUGUGGCCACCAUGUCUCAAAAUGUCAUUGUCGCAGCUGCAGCAAACAUUGACAGCACGAUCGAUCAUUCCAUCUUCAAGCCUAUUGUCCAAAUCUCAGUGAUCAGCAGAUCGGAGUCGUCUGACUGUCACCUGCUUGCUGUGACGCACGCAGGGGUGCGUCUGUACUUCACCACAACGCCUUUUGCCCCGCCACGACAUAAACACCUGCUGGCCCGACCAUCCCUUCUCUCUCUGGCUCACGUCCGCCUACCGCCAGGCUUCUCCAUGUCUUCCACACAGCAGAAACCAGCCAAUGUCCACAAGGUGCUGCACAGUAAAGGUGUUUUACUGAUGGCAGAUUAUGAGACGGAGAACAAUGACCUCCUUUGGUGCAUUAACCAUGACUCUUUCCCCUUCAAGAAACCUUUGAUGGAGACUCAGAUGAUCUCUCAUAUCGAUGGACAUAUAUUGGCUUUCAGCGCCAUCAGUGAGAAAAGGCCAGCCAAGAUAUGUACUCCCCUGAACAAGGAGGUGAUCCCAAUCACCGAUCCGCCUAUGGUGGUCUUGCAGCACAACAUCCCCUCUCAGAAAUUUGUCCUCCUUUCAACAAAGGGGAGUCACAUCUUUCAAAAGCUGCGUCCAGUGGAUCAGCUGCGUCACCUGCUUGUGAGCAGUGCGGGAGGUGAGAGCGAAGAGAUUGAGCGUUUCUUCAAGUUAGACAGGGGGAAGCAGGCCUGUGUGACAGCCUUGAUCCUGGCUUGUUCCAAAGCGGCUUGUGACGGAGUGGUCUCACAGUGGGCCACCAGAGCUUUCUUCAGAUAUGGCGAAGAAGCACAAGAGCAGAAAGAACCUGCAGCUUUGUCAGCGCCCAUCAAUGUUGGACCCGUAAUGCGCUCUCCUGCACCUGCAGGAAUUUUGCCUCUAUCCCUGGCCACGCCCAUUGCCCCGACGCAAAUUAGGUCCUUCCCCAUCACCCCGAUAUCAGUUUUCACCGGGAAGUACAACAGUAUCUGUGUCUACUUUGCUCGCAUCCUCGGAAACAUUUGGGAUGGUAGCCUAGCAGUGGAGAAAAGCAUCAGCCAAGGAAGUCAGACUGUCAGUCUUAUGGAAAGCAGUGUUUCUUCGCUUCAUCUGGAGUCAGUCCUUUUGGAUCUCUCAUGCUUGAAUGAAUUUCUGGACAAAAUCUCUCACUUCAGUCAGUCAUCCCUCAGCGGCGCAAGUUCCCCUGGCAACUGGCCGCAAAGACUGCUGGGAUUUAGGCCCAGCACUAGUUCUCAGGGAAUCCAACAGGAAUUUCAGAGAAAAUGUCAUUGCAAGGCUCCGCUCGAUGAGAAAGAGUCCCUGCAGAGCAUCCAGGCUCUAGUGCAGCUCUCCUAUCAAACUCUGGCCUUGUGGAAGCUUCUCUGCGAUCAUCAGUUCAGCCUCAUCAUAUCGGAACUGCCCAAAGAGUUUCAAGAGCAGAUUAAGUUAGCGAGUUUCAAAGAUGUGGUUAUCCGCGGGAAGGAGCUUUCAAGAGCCCUCAUCACAGCGCUCAUUACUGUCUACAUCAAACAUAAUGCCUCUGUAGAUGCCAUUAACAAUCACCUGCUGGACCUCUGCCCACUGCUCUACAGCACCGACGACAGUGUCUGCUUCAAGGCUAACAAAUUGCUGCAGAGCUCCAAGCAGAUCCAGAACAAAGCCGAUAAGGAGAUAACCCUGAGAGAGUCGCUACAUCUCUACCAGCAGAUCAGCCAGCACACUGACCUGCCGCUGGUUUGCUCCCAGUACAAACAAGAGCGUUUCUAUGAGGGCAUUCUCGAGCUGUGCCUCACGGCAGCCAACAAAAGAGACCCCCAUGGGCUGGGCCCACUUUUUUACAGAAAUGGAGAGCCUAAAGAGGACGAGACGGGCCAGCUGGCCUUCCAGGAAAGGCUAUCAUGUUAUAAGUGCAUCACGGACACCAUGCAGGAGCUAGUGAACCAAAGCAAAGGGGAGCCUCAGUCCCCCAGCGUCCCAAAGCAGCCGGGGCCUCCCGUUCUCACCUCAGAUCCUAAUAUGCUGAGUGAUGAGGAAGCAACGGCCCACUUUGAACAGAUUUUUGAUCUGGCCCAGAGGUCCCAAGACAAGCUGUUUCACAUCAUCCUCUACAAUUGGCUUAUUCAGGCCAAUCUAGCAGACAAGCUGCUCGAGGUGAAUUCACCGUACCUUGAAGAGCAUCUCAUUCAUAUUAUCAAACAGGAUCAGAGCAAGGUGCACAACAUGGAUGUUCUGUGGCGCUACUACCAGAAAAACCGCAACUUUGGCGAAGCUGCCCAUGUCUUGUCAUGCCUCGUUGACAUACAUAGCACUGAGAUUUCCCUCAAGCAGCGACUGGAAUACCUUGCACGGGCCAUUAUGUUUGCUAAGACCGCCUUCUGGAUCUCUGCUAAGGUGGCAGACAAAAAGCUUCUCCUUGAGCUGGAAAAGAAAAUGGAGAUGACUCUGGCCUUUUCCAAGUCCAUAAUGUGGUUUUCCCUUUUGCAGUGAUUGGUGAUGGCUGAGUUGUGAUGUUCCUGUUGUGCUUAUUCUUUCAUUGCCCUUGUUUGUCUUAUUGUUGUCUCCUCACAAUCCUUCUUGUGUUCUGUUUUUCUUGUAAUAAGGCUCCUCCUUGUCUGCCCGAUGUAUGAUUUAUUGCAUGAUUUGCAUGGAAUUUCAUAUAUGGAGUUACAUUUGUUUUCUGGGUGGAUUUUGUCCUUUGGAUGGACCAAUAUCUGGCGGAGUGUUGUGUGUGGUUCGACCGGUGUGUUUAUGUUGUAUUUUUUUAUGACUCUUUGGAUAUAUUCCGUGACUCCUCUCAUGUAUGGCAAGGUCACCAUAUCUCUGUUCUGGUUUGGUUUGUUUAUUCUUUCCCCCCUGUGUUGUGCUGUUCUUGUUUUUGACAUGUCUUGCACCUUUUACUAUUCCUGACUGUGGAUACUGACACCAUUUUAGUGCAUUUUGUAUUAGUUUUUCCUCCUGUGUUCUGUCAUCCGGGUCUGUGAUUAUUGUCAUACGUUCAUGUAAUGUUCUGACUACUGACAGUUUGUGGACAGUGGGGUGUUCAGAUGUCCAUAGAAGGUAUUGGUCGGUGGAUGUGGGUUUUCUGUGUACUUUUAUUUAGAUGUGGCCGUUGUCUGUGUUUGUCAGGGAAUGCGCGGGCAGGCAGGUUGUGUGGACCCAAAUGCAGUGAAACAAUAAUGCAAGGCAGGUGGCAGAGAACUCAAAAAAUGGUUUUAAUUAUGACUAACAAAAGCACAAAGUACAAACAAAAGGACUAGGGAUCAAAAGGCAAGGUUCAAACAAAACUUACUUUCAAAGCAGGGCGAGUAACACAAGGAACUGGGGGGGAACGCAGGCAUGAACGUGGACCAGUACAUUGACAAUGACGCAACAAGGAGUGACAAGAAACUGGGUCUUUAUAUACACACACGCAGACAAGGGGUAACGAGACGAGGAACAGCUGGGUAACACAGGUGGAUGCAGAUUGCAGGAUACACUGGGAGAACACACACAGGUGAAAGCAAUGGGCAAUCACAGGGACAAGUCACACUAGGAGAAAACAAACACAAAACCUAACAGUGUUAUGUAUGUUUCUGUCCAGAAAGGCUAUGGAUUGAUCUGUUUCCUCUUCAUGGGUGAAUUUGAUGCUGCCAGUGGUGUCUAUGGGGUUGAGGUGGUCCGUGAGUCGUUGUGUAUGUCCUGUUUUUAGUUUUUCCAGAAUGUCGUCUACGUAGCGUUUCCUUAGUGUGGGUCUGUAUUCAUCUGGGGCUGUUCCAUGAAGAAACCGCACAUGAUGGCAGACAGUGUGUCUACCGUGGCGAAUCCUUCCUUUUGCCUGUAGAUGGUGUUUCUGAAUUGGAAGUAUGUGGAAGUGGCUAUGAAAUGGAGAAGCUGAGUGAGGUCCUGUACUGUUAGAUUUGUGCAUUUUUGAGUGUCCUGCCUGCAAUUAGCCUGUCGUGCACAAUAUGUAUGGUGGCCUGUGUGGGUGUUUUUGUUAAGAGUGACGUAAAUUUUUCCCCACAAAAAAGAUAACUUAUAGGUCGGUGCGAAUUUUGUUUGUUUGUUUUUUUUUUUCGAUGACAUGACAUCAUUUGACUAGUAUGAGAUACACUGCUGAGCACUUUAUAGUCUGGAAAAUACAGUCAUUUAUUCAGUGGCGAAGCUCAAAACUUAAAACACUCAUAUCUCAAAUGAAAUGCUAUUUACUUGUUCACUGUCUUGACAAUAAUGGUGACAGAUGUCCUAUUCAUUUAACUGAUCAUGCUUCACUUCCAUUGACUAAUCUCUACUGCCAGCCCUUCCAGUUCAAAUGGAUUAGAUGUCAGUCACCUUUAAUAGUUAGCUAGCUAGUUAAAAGUCCCUUCCACUACCGAGUUAAAAGAAUUGUAACAUGCUUUUAUUAAAAAAAAAAUCACCUCACAUUAUUGUGGAAGAAUGGUAAGAAUUUGAGUGUUCCUACUCAUUGGUGCGUCCUGACUCCUGACCACAAGAGAGAGGUAUUAUGCAGAUAAAAAUAAUACAUAAAACUGUUUACAACAUACAAAUACACAUUCUGUAACCUUGUUUCCAUUUUUUUGCCCUGAGUGAUUUGGAAAAUUUUUAAAAAGCAGAAUUCCACAAGACUAAUGCUACUUUGCAUUCAUCUAGGUGGUGCGCAUCCAAGUUCAGAUUCAGGAGGCGCUGAUCCAGCAGUACUCCAAUCGCGCUUCGGUGAAAAAUGCCAUUUCUCAGUUGGAUUCGAAACUUGUGAACAUCACCAAGCUCUAUGGGGAAUAUGCAGACCACUUCCAACUGUCAGAGUGUA
This is an RNA transcript of Corythoichthys intestinalis (scribbled pipefish), 6056 nucleotides long. It is a transcript of the gene named nuclear pore complex protein Nup155-like, with no coding region annotated. NCBI's taxonomy places the organism in Eukaryota, Metazoa, Chordata, Actinopteri, Syngnathiformes, Syngnathidae. The record is from RefSeq and is a predicted model, not a curated record. The transcript has 29 exons.